GGCACUAUGGCCGAGUGGUUAAGGCGAGAGACUCGAAAUCUCUUGGGCUCUGCCCGCGCUGGUUCAAAUCCUGNNGGUGUCG
This 82-nucleotide transfer RNA is filed under the name Saccharomyces kudriavzevii FM1062. Its description in RNAcentral is "tRNA-Ser (CGA) (tRNA-Ser-CGA-1-1)". It matches the Rfam family "tRNA". From Rfam's summary of the family: Transfer RNA (tRNA) molecules are approximately 80 nucleotides in length. Their secondary structure includes four short double-helical elements and three loops (D, anti-codon, and T loops). Further hydrogen bonds mediate the characteristic L-shaped molecular structure. tRNAs have two regions of fundamental functional importance: the anti-codon, which is responsible for specific mRNA codon recognition, and the 3' end, to which the tRNAs corresponding amino acid is attached (by aminoacyl-tRNA synthetases). tRNAs cope with the degeneracy of the genetic code in two manners: having more than one tRNA (with a specific anti-codon) for a particular amino acid; and 'wobble' base-pairing, i.e. permitting non-standard base-pairing at the 3rd anti-codon position. Lineage: Eukaryota; Fungi; Ascomycota; Saccharomycetes; Saccharomycetales; Saccharomycetaceae. The record is from RNAcentral.